UGUGUGUGUUAGUUACCAUUUUGUCCUAGGCACAUGUCAAUUAGACACUUGGCCUGUUGUAUAUAAGAGUGUGUGUGUGUGUGUGUGUGUGUUAGUUACCAUUUUGUACUAGGCACGUCUAUUAGACAAUUGGCCUGUUGUAUAUUAGAGAGAGUGUGUGUGUGUGUGUGUGUGUGUGUGUGUGUGUGUGUGUGUGUGUGUGUGUGUGUGUGUGUGUGUGUGUGUGUGUGUGUGUGUGUGUGUAUUAGUUACCAUUUUGUCCUAGGCACAUGUCAAUUAGACACUUGGCCUGUUGUAUAUAAGAGUGUGUGUGUUAGUUACCAUUUUGUCCUAGGCACAUGUCAAUUAGACACUUGGCCUGUUGUAUAUAAGUGUGUGUGUGUGUGUGUGUGUGUGUUUGAGGUUGCAGGGGUCGUGUGUGUGUGUGUGUGUGUGUGUGUGUGUGUGUGUGUGUGUGUGUGUGUGUGUGUGUGUGUGUGUGUGU
This is a non-coding RNA of Cherax quadricarinatus, 484 nucleotides long. Lineage: Eukaryota; Metazoa; Arthropoda; Malacostraca; Decapoda; Parastacidae. The record is from RefSeq and is a predicted model, not a curated record.